Molecule: ribosomal RNA, 373 nt
Filed under: uncultured eukaryote
Lineage: Eukaryota
Description: partial small subunit ribosomal RNA
Rfam family: Eukaryotic small subunit ribosomal RNA
Source: RNAcentral
AGCUCCAAUAGCGUAUAUUAAAGUUGUUGCAGUUAAAAAGCUCGUAGUUGAAUUUCUUUCAAUUGCCGGCUAGAUCGCGCAAGUGAUUUCUGGUUGGCGUUGAUAUAUUUUGGGGUGCGUUGCCUCUUCACUGGGGUAGCGUAUGCUCAGAAAGUUACUUUGAGAAAAUUAGAGUGUUUCAAGCAGGCAUUUGCCUUGAAUACUACAGCAUGGAAUAACAUGAUAGGACUUUGGUCCUUUCUUGUUGGUUCGGAGGACUAAGGUAAUGAUUAACAGGGACAGUCGGGGGCAUUCGUAUUUAACUGUCAGAGGUGAAAUUCUUAGAUUUGUUAAAGACGAACUACUGCGAAAGCAUUUGCCAAGGAUGUUCCCA